GACAUGCAGCCAUCUGAACCAACCACCACCAGGGAAGUGGCCCUGGCCCCUGCUCUCCAGGCAAACCUCUGAUCCAGCAGCAUAUGAGGUGUAACCUCCAGGAUGACCUCCCUACUUCCCCCACCAGGAGUUCAGGACUUCCUAGCUGGACCCCUAGGAUGCCUGCCAGGGAUGCUCUGUGAAUUGAGAUGGGGAAACCGAGGCCUGCCAGCAGUCACAGAAAGAGCUGGAAGAAGGCCUCUCGGGACCACCACUCCCCCAACCCACAAGGAAAGGUUUUGGCUCUACAGAGA
Eptesicus fuscus (big brown bat) is the source of this 293-nucleotide long non-coding RNA. RefSeq lists it as uncharacterized. The record is from RefSeq and is a predicted model, not a curated record. The transcript has 3 exons. Lineage: Eukaryota; Metazoa; Chordata; Mammalia; Chiroptera; Vespertilionidae.